This 484-nucleotide ribosomal RNA is filed under the name uncultured bacterium. RNAcentral's name for it is "partial 16S ribosomal RNA". It matches the Rfam family "Bacterial small subunit ribosomal RNA", at positions 30 to 507 of the family's 1533-position model. The record is from RNAcentral.
AUUGAACGCUGGCGGAAUGCUUUACACAUGCAAGUCGAACGGCAGCACGGGGGCAGCCCUGGCGGCGAGUGGCGAACGGGUGAGUAAUACAUCGGAACGUGCCCGGUCGUGGGGGAUAACGUAGCGAAAGUUACGCUAAUACCGCAUACGAUCUGAGGAUGAAAGCGGGGGACCUUCGGUCCUCGCGCGAUCGGAGCGGCCGAUGUCAGAUUAGGUAGUUGGUGGGGUAAAGGCCUACCAAGCCGACGAUCUGUAGCUGGUCUGAGAGGACGACCAGCCACACUGGGACUGAGACACGGCCCAGACUCCUACGGGAGGCAGCAGUGGGGAAUUUUGGACAAUGGGCGCAAGCCUGAUCCAGCCAUUCCGCGUGCAGGACGAAGGCCUUCGGGUUGUAAACUGCUUUUGUACGGAACGAAAAGGCUCUGGCUAAUACCUGGGGCUCAUGACGGUACCGUAAGAAUAAGCACCGGCUAACUACGUG